RNAcentral lists this transfer RNA (76 nucleotides) under Xanthomonas oryzae pv. oryzae. Its description in RNAcentral is "tRNA-Gly". It matches the Rfam family "tRNA". From Rfam's summary of the family: Transfer RNA (tRNA) molecules are approximately 80 nucleotides in length. Their secondary structure includes four short double-helical elements and three loops (D, anti-codon, and T loops). Lineage: Bacteria; Pseudomonadati; Pseudomonadota; Gammaproteobacteria; Lysobacterales; Lysobacteraceae. The record is from RNAcentral.
GCGGGAAUAGCUCAGUUGGUAGAGCGCAACCUUGCCAAGGUUGAGGUCGCGAGUUCGAGUCUCGUUUCCCGCUCAA